This 492-nucleotide ribosomal RNA is filed under the name uncultured bacterium. Its description in RNAcentral is "partial 16S ribosomal RNA". It matches the Rfam family "Bacterial small subunit ribosomal RNA", at positions 29 to 507 of the family's 1533-position model. The record is from RNAcentral.
AGUGAACGCUGGCGGUAGGCCUAACACAUGCAAGCCGAACGGCAGCACAGUAAGAGCUUGCUCUUACGGGUGGCGAGUGGCGGACGGGUGAGGAAUACAUCGGAAUCUACUUUUUCGUGGGGGCUAACGUAGGGAAACUUACGCUAAUACCGCAUACGACCUACGGGUGAAAGCAGGGGAUCUUCGGACCUUGCGCGAUUGAAUGAGCCGAUGUCGGAUUAGCUAGUUGGCGGGGUAAAGGCCCACCAAGGCGACGAUCCGUAGCUGGUCUGAGAGGAUGAUCAGCCACACUGGAACUGAGACACGGUCCAGACUCCUACGGGAGGCAGCGGCGGGGAAUAUUGGACAAUGGGGGCAAGCCUGAUCCAGCCAUACCGCGUGGGUGAAGAAGGCCUUCGGGUUGGAAAGCCCUGUUGUUGGGAAAGAAAAGCAGCAGGUUAAUACCCCGCUGUUCUGACGGUACCCAAAGAAUAAGCACCGGCUAACUUCGUG